This 465-nucleotide ribosomal RNA is filed under the name Vreelandella stevensii. RNAcentral describes it as "partial 16S ribosomal RNA". It matches the Rfam family "Bacterial small subunit ribosomal RNA", at positions 338 to 795 of the family's 1533-position model. Lineage: Bacteria; Pseudomonadati; Pseudomonadota; Gammaproteobacteria; Oceanospirillales; Halomonadaceae. The record is from RNAcentral.
CCUACGGGCGGCUACAGUGGGGAAUAUUGGACAAUGGGGGGAACCCUGAUCCAGCCAUGCCGCGUGUGUGAAGAAGGCCCUCGGGUUGUAAAGCACUUUCAGUGAGGAAGAACGCCUGGUGGUUAAUACCCAUCAGGAAAGACAUCACUCACAGAAGAAGCACCGGCUAACUCCGUGCCAGCAGCCGCGGUAAUACGGAGGGUGCGAGCGUUAAUCGGAAUUACUGGGCGUAAAGCGCGCGUAGGUGGCUUGAUAAGCCGGUUGUGAAAGCCCCGGGCUCAACCUGGGAACGGCAUCCGGAACUGUCAAGCUAGAGUGCAGGAGAGGAAGGUAGAAUUCCCGGUGUAGCGGUGAAAUGCGUAGAGAUCGGGAGGAAUACCAGUGGCGAAGGCGGCCUUCUGGACUGACACUGACACUGAGGUGCGAAAGCGUGGGUAGCAAACAGGAUUAGAUACCCUGGUAGUC